GGAGUCAUUCAAUCGCGCCAGCUGCGGCGUCUACGUCGCUUUGGCUUUUUCGAUCGGUCUGGGUCUCGGUUUGUGUUUUGGGGUUUUUUCUCUGCCUUUUUUUUUUUGUUUGUUUGCUUUUGGCUGCCCAUUCUACUUACAAUAUUUGUGGGAUAUCACCAGAGAUCUCUGCAACUGCAUCCGAAAUCCCAAAGACUCAAAUAAAAACAAAAUAAAGGAGCCUCAUCGCCCUGGACAGUGACUGCUGCUGUGUGUGAAUUUCGAUUCGGUCUGGCGUCUGUUCUGCGUCAGAGGUUGGAGCUAUGGAGCUGCACAGCUUCGUCGUCACCCAUGAAGUGACGGAUCAUAAAUUUUGUGAGUUGCCUUGAGAGCACAUAAACGGAAGACAAUGAAAGAUAUUUGUACAUAUGAUUUGACAAUGUGAAGAACUUUUGACUAUAUCUAUAGUCACGGGUCCAUAUAUGGCAAAUUAAGCAUUAACAAUUUGAAUUCCCAUUAAUUGAAAAUAGUAGAUUGUGAAAUCUUGAAAAAUUACUUAUAAUUUUCAUUGAAUACUCACCUCACUUGAAGCACGUUCAAAAUAUAAAAAUCAAUUUAAUUGUUGGUUCUUUUA
Molecule: long non-coding RNA, 613 nt
Organism: Drosophila sulfurigaster albostrigata
Lineage: Eukaryota; Metazoa; Arthropoda; Insecta; Diptera; Drosophilidae
Exons: 3
Source: RefSeq, a predicted model, not a curated record